AUGAAAGCAACAAGAUAUUAUAAUGAGUGAUUCUGGUGAAACAUAAUGUAGCAGUGCAUGGUUUACCAUUAUUUCUGUUUACGAAGAUAUUCAUGAGAAGUACAUCAAACUUCGUAUAAAAAUAUUUAAACCGCAUAGAGCUCCUAUAUGUUCUCAGCUCGUAUUCUUCAUAACUUGAAAUAAAAUGUACAAUUGACCUAAUGUAGUUCGGACCGAGUGGAAUAGUCCAAUCUCUAAUGGCCUUGUGAUCAGGUUGAAAUGUAAAUAACUCUGCAAAAAAGACAUGAAAAUCGAUCAUGUUGGAAAUCAUGAUUUGAUAUGCAUUUGAAGCCCCAUUUUGCAAUUCAUGAACACGUCAAAACAAUCAGAAAUACAUCACAAGUAAGCGAAUAAGGAUCUAACUGUACCAAAUAGGAAAAAUGAAGUAUCUGCAAUAUUUACGCAUUUUGUAAUCAUAGUAAUGUUUUUAAAGUUAUCAGUGUCUGCAAUAUUUACCGCAUUUUGUAACCAUAGUAAUGGUUUUAAAGUUAUCAGUAUCACCUGUAGGCAAUUUCCCUUCCUCCACUUCCUUUCCAUUGAUUAGAACGGACUCUACACACCAC
This 602-nucleotide long non-coding RNA is filed under the name Triticum aestivum (bread wheat). RNAcentral's name for it is "long non-coding RNA (TAES_LNC024556)". Lineage: Eukaryota; Viridiplantae; Streptophyta; Magnoliopsida; Poales; Poaceae. The record is from RNAcentral.